RNAcentral lists this ribosomal RNA (468 nucleotides) under uncultured bacterium. RNAcentral describes it as "partial 16S ribosomal RNA". It matches the Rfam family "Bacterial small subunit ribosomal RNA", at positions 28 to 507 of the family's 1533-position model. The record is from RNAcentral.
GACGAACGCUGGCGGCGUGCUUAACACAUGCCAGUCGAACGGACAGGCCCUGCUUUUGUGGGGUGCUCGAUUGGCGCACGGGUGAGUAACACGUGUGUAUCCUGCCCUUGUCUUUGGGAUAACUUCUGGAAACUGGGGCUCAUACCCGAUAGGAGCUCCUGCUGCAUGGUGUGGGUUGGAAAGUUUCGGCGGUUGGGGCUGGACUCGCGGCUUAUCCGCUUGUUGGUGUGGUAGUGGCUUACCAAGGCUGUGACGGGUAGCCGGCCUGAGAGGGGGACCGGCCACAAGGGGACUGAGAUACGGCCCAGAAGCCAACGUGAGGCAGCAGGGGGGAAUAUGGCAGAAUAGGCGGAAGCCUGAUGCAGCAACGCCGCGUGCGGGAUGACGGCUUACGGGGGGUAAACCGCUGUCGCAGGUGACGAAGCGUGAGUGACGGUAAUGGGUAAAGAAGCAACGGCUAACUACGUG